This 435-nucleotide ribosomal RNA is filed under the name uncultured bacterium. Its description in RNAcentral is "bacterial SSU rRNA". It matches the Rfam family "Bacterial small subunit ribosomal RNA", at positions 958 to 1392 of the family's 1533-position model. The record is from RNAcentral.
AACGCGAAGAACCUUACCAAAUCUUGACAUCCUUUGAAAACUCUAGAGAUAGAGCCUUCCCCUUCGGGGGACAAAGUGACAGGUGGUGCAUGGUUGUCGUCAGCUCGUGUCGUGAGAUGUUGGGUUAAGUCCCGCAACGAGCGCAACCCCUAUUAUUAGUUGCCAGCAUUCAGUUGGGCACUCUAGUGAGACUGCCGGUGAUAAACCGGAGGAAGGUGGGGAUGACGUCAAAUCAUCAUGCCCCUUAUGACCUGGGCUACACACGUGCUACAAUGGAUGGUACAACGAGUCGCAAGGUCGCGAGGCCAAGCUAAUCUCUUAAAGCCAUUCUCAGUUCGGAUUGUAGGCUGCAACUCGCCUACAUGAAGCCGGAAUCGCUAGUAAUCGCGGAUCAGCACGCCGCGGUGAAUACGUUCCCGGGUCUUGUACACACCG